RNAcentral lists this long non-coding RNA (4067 nucleotides) under Zea mays. Its description in RNAcentral is "long non-coding RNA (ZMAY_LNC003352)". The record is from RNAcentral. Lineage: Eukaryota; Viridiplantae; Streptophyta; Magnoliopsida; Poales; Poaceae.
UACCACCUCGCCUAGCCAAGGGGGCCGUGUUGCACUUAUAAGGGCGGGCCUCCCUCCUCUCUCAGCCUAGGUUUUGAGAGCGAGGUGCCUGUCUGAAUAGGCUGCGCGCGAGCGCAUGAACGCCCGACGCUGGUGAUGGUGGGCUUUGGCGGACUGGCCCAGUGGGUGCGUUACAAAUGGUAUCGGAGCCCACAUUGCCGCUGCUGCCUGGGAGAGCUUUGGGCCUCUUAGGGGGGUGGGAUGUAAGGGGCCGGUAUGCAUGCCCUGGGUUAGUACCACCUCGCCUAGCCAAGGGGGCCGUGUUGCACUUAUAAGGGCGGGCCUCCCUCCUCUCUCAGCCUAGGUUUUGAGAGCGAGGUGCCUGUCUGAAUAGGCUGCGCGCGAGCGCAUGAACGCCCGACGCUGGUGAUGGUGGGCUUUGGCGGACUGGCCCAGUGGGUGCGUUACAAAUGUCAGCAGCUCUAGGUGCUAUACAAAAGUUAAGGAUGGUAGCUCCGGAUGUUCUACGGAAGCCAAGCCAUGCAAGACGAGGAGAAGCAGGCUUCUGAAGCUGUUGAAAGAGGGAAGCUGAGAAGAGUAGCCGAGAGACUAAGCCCAACAAGAAGUAUAUUGGUGUCAAUAGGCUGUAAUAGGGCCCACAUAUUUGUUAGCUAUAAAAGAGGGAAAACUGCUCGUCUGUAACCUGGCUUUUGGCUAACGAUGAACUUGGAAAGGAAGAUAGAACAUAGAACUGAUUCCUGAGUGUCUGGUGAGUCUUGUGAGAGGGUGUUGUUAACAUUUGGUAUCAGAGCUGGUUCUUCCACACCGUCGCAAACCAAUUUCAGGCGAGAAUUGGAACUAUGGCGUGGCCGAGCCUCGAAGAUCCGAUGGCGCAGCUGAUGGCGAAAAUCGAGGAAGGAAAUUGAGGGAUUCAUCGGUGUAUGGACUCGAUGCAGUCUGCUAUGGAGAAGAUGGAGAUCACGCUCAAGGGUUUGCUGACAUAUCAGAGCGACUUCGAGAAGGGGAGGCCAGGAAUCGAAGCGGAGGAGGUGGGGAUGAUGGAAGCACCAAAGUCCGUUCAGAAUCUGGUGGCGAACGCCAUAUCGGCGCGCGUCAUCUCCAUUGAGAAGGAUGGCUCCGUCUCCGACACGCCAGCAACGUCCAUGCCUUCUCCGGCCUCAGAUCCGCGGCAUGAUACCAGCUUCACCACCACACGCACGUGUCUGGGCACAGACCAUGCUGUCACCGCCGCGAGCAGGCGCGCCGGUGCGGGCCACGUCGCGAGUGAACGCACGAGAGGGCGCCACCGUCGCCCCCAGCCGUGCGGACGAGCAAGCGCCCCUGCCGCCGUCGCGGGCACACGCGGACCGUCGCCGCCGCCGCGUAGGCGAGCGUGCGCGGGCCGUCGCCGCUACACAGGUAGCACCGAACCGUGCCCCGUCCAGGCGCCCCUGUCGCCAUCGCGCAGGCGAGCGCAAGCGGGUCGCCGUCACCGCCGCCACAUUGACUCCCUGAAGUGGUGUCUGGUUAUUGAAGCGAAGGGGGUGGAGAUGGCAGAAGCACUAACGAACAUCCGGAAUCAGGCGAACAACGUGGCGCGGAAGGCACUCGGAGUUCCUCUUUCCAUUUCGGUGGUGGCACGCUCCUCGAUGUCGAUUCCUCUGGUAACUACGUCGAGCGGAGCGACAACUGGACCAAUUAUCCAACAAAUCGCUGAUCCUUAUCAACAACCAGCUACUGAUUUGAAUGCAACCCGAAUCCCUAUUCUAGUGGAAGAUGUGGUGACCGAGUUCAUCAAUGGGUUGGUGGAUAUUUACCCAGAUCUGCAGUACCUCGAAGAGUUCCCUCAGAUUAAGGUCGUUCAUCGUGUUGAGGUCGAGCACAGUUCCUAUGACAAAGUUGCAGUCAUCUCAGGUGGUCAAAGUGGCCAUGAACCUGCCCAUGCUGGAUUUGUUGGUCCUGGAAUGCUGACCGCUGCUGUCUCUAGAGAGGUCUUCACUUCUCUACCUGUUGAUUCUAUUUUAGCCAUUGUUCGAGCUGUAACUGGUUCCAAGGGGUGCUACACGGAUGCAAAGAUGUGUGAAGUCGUGACGAGGCCCUGCGUCAGGGGAGGGAUGCAUAGUGACGCUGUCAGGGUGUUCGGUGAAAUGACCGGCGCCUGGGUCAAGCCCGACGAACACGUUUAUGCCACCACAAUCACAUGUUUGGGCAGGCUACAUGAUGCAGAUCAUGCACUUCAGGUACUGGAAAAGAUGAGGGAGGCAUGGGUCGAGCUGUGGGAGUUAACAUGCAAUUCUAUGGUGGGUGUGCUUGUGAAGGUGGGAAGGAUGGAUGAGAUAUUGCAUCUAAAGGAUCAGAUGAUGCUGGCUAAGGAGAAGAUGGAUGUGGUUCUCGCGAGAAUGUUGAUGCACGUGUACUAUUUGAGUGGAGAAGUUGGGAAAACAUUAGAAUUGUUUGAUGUGGUUGCCAGUGAUGGUGUGACACUGUCCAAUGUGGCAUAUGGGGUGAUGAACAAAGGUUGUGAAGAAGAGGGGAUGACAGAUGAGAUAUAUAAGCUAUGCACAUAUGAGUUCAAUUUGGUGAUCAGAGGCCUCUUGAGAAACAAACAGUGGAAAGUUGACAUUGACUUACUUGAACUUAUGGUUGAUACUUGGGUACCACAUUUCUUCACUUACAGUUGUCUAAUUCAUUGGCUCUACAAGCAUCACAAACUCUGCGAGGCAGUCAGCUUAUGGGAUAAGAUGACGGAAGCAGGGGUCAACCCUUCUAUUGUGACAUACCACACCCUAAUGUUGGGGUACUGUCAGAAAGGGUGCAGAGAUAAAGCACUCAAGUUAUACUCUGAGAGGCUUGAUGAAGGAUUCCCAUCUAAUGAGGCCAGUUACCUUAAGUUGAUGAAAGGGUAUAUCAAGAAGAAAACUGUUGACAAGGCCUAUGCCCUUCUUAAUGAAAUGCGUCAGAAUGGAGCUCUCGACGAGGGUUUUAAGCAGGCAAAAUCUGAAGGCUAUAAUAUGGAGAUGGUCGUUGCUGGAGCUGGUUGUGUUUUUUCCCCACCUAGAGGAAUAGCAGGUAGAAGAGGUUCAGCUAGAACAAUUAUUGUGCAUAAAGUUGCUGAAGAAGCAAAACCUGCAUUUGAAGUUGACGUUACGAUGGGAGUUGCACUUUCUGUUUGCACAUUGCCAGAGCAAGUUACUUCUGGGAGUUUGGGUCAAAGGCAACUGGAGCUUGGCCUUAGAAUCCAUGGAGAACUUGGUGUUGCUGUUGUUGAACUCCAGUCAGUUGAUAUAGUAGCAGAACAUGUUCUUAAGCAGAUAGUGUCACGAGAAACUCAGUAUCUUCCUAACACAAGGGGUUGCAAUGAUGUUCUCCUAGUGAAUGGAUUAGGCGCCACUCCUAUCAUGGAACUUAUGAUUGCAGCAGUUCCUGAGUUGCAAUUGGUGUAUGACAUUGCUAUUGACAGGGUCUACACUGGCACAUUAUUGACAUCACUGGAUAUGGCAGGAUUAUCCAUUACCGUUAUGAAGUCUGACCAAAGUAUUUUGAGGAGACUUGAUGUUCUCACUAAAGCUCUAGCUUGGCCAGUUGGUUAUGAAGGAACUCGUCCACCAGCAAAGCUUCAUGUUCCUCUAGCACCAUCACCAUCAAUGAAGGAUGACGAGAUUCUUGCUCCAUCUCAAGAGCUGAGCAAGCAGUUCUUGAUGUUUCAUAUGCACCAGCAAAGUUUUCCAUGUGUACCAACUUGGGGACAAGUUGGAUCUCUAGGAGGGGGAAAUGUCAGCAGCUCUAGGUGCUAUACAAAAGUUAAGGAUGGUAGCUCCGGAUGUUCUACGGAAGCCAAGCCAUGCAAGACGAGGAGAAGCAGGCUUCUGAAGCUGUUGAAAGAGGGAAGCUGAGAAGAGUAGCCGAGAGACUAAGCCCAACAAGAAGUAUAUUGGUGUCAAUAGGCUGUAAUAGGGCCCACAUAUUUGUUAGCUAUAAAAGAGGGAAAACUGCUCGUCUGUAACCUGGCUUUUGGCUAACGAUGAACUUGGAAAGGAAGAUAGAACAUAGAACUGAUUCCUGAGUGUCUGGUGAGUCUUGUGAGAGGG